RNAcentral lists this ribosomal RNA (195 nucleotides) under uncultured bacterium. Its description in RNAcentral is "partial 16S ribosomal RNA". It matches the Rfam family "Bacterial small subunit ribosomal RNA", at positions 1307 to 1500 of the family's 1533-position model. The record is from RNAcentral.
AAAUUACGCCUUCCAUGAAGCUGGAAUUGCUAGUAAUGGCAGGUCAGCAUACUGCCGUGAAUACGUUCCCGGGCCUUGUACACACCGCCCGUCACACCAUGAGAGUUGGGAAUACCCGAAGCCUGUGAGCUAACCGCAAGGAGGCAGCAGUCGAAGGUGGGGUUGAUGAUUGGGGUGAAGUCGUAACAAGGUAGC